UACGAAGGGGGCUAGCGUUGUUCGGAUUUACUGGGCGUAAAGCGCACGUAGGCGGAUUGUUAAGUCAGGGGUGAAAUCCUGGAGCUCAACUCCAGAACUGCCUUUGAUACUGGCGAUCUCGAGUCCGGGAGAGGUGAGUGGAACUCCGAGUGUAGAGGUGAAAUUCGUAGAUAUUCGGAAGAACACCAGUGGCGAAGGCGGCUCACUGGCCCGGUACUGACGCUGAGGUGCGAAAGCGUGGGGAGCAAACAGG
This 253-nucleotide ribosomal RNA is filed under the name uncultured bacterium. RNAcentral's name for it is "partial 16S ribosomal RNA". It matches the Rfam family "Bacterial small subunit ribosomal RNA", at positions 524 to 776 of the family's 1533-position model. The record is from RNAcentral.